This 333-nucleotide ribosomal RNA is filed under the name Triticum aestivum (bread wheat). RNAcentral's name for it is "partial small subunit ribosomal RNA". Lineage: Eukaryota; Viridiplantae; Streptophyta; Magnoliopsida; Poales; Poaceae. The record is from RNAcentral.
AUGGAGUUCCUGAUGCAACCAAUUAGGAGGACCACCGUGCUGGAUGAGGUUAAUGACAACAAGGUUCCAAUGGAGCCGCUGCACUACCCUGCGGUGGCAACCAUUGCAGAUCAAUUGCCGCCCAUGGCGGCAACGAGUGCUGGCGAGCAGAUCUGUGCAGCGGAGGGGUCGGCGGUCGCGGAAGCAGAUGGUGAAGCACAAACAAAGGUGUGGAUCGGAGCUGCCGCUCCCGGCAGGACGCCUUAUCCUAGUCGCACGAGCGCCUUUGAGAAGUCAAUACGUGGUUUUGCGGAGAAGUCUGCAUCGGAUGAGCAGGAUAGGAAAGGUUACUGA